GACGAACGCUGGCGGCGUGCCUAAUACAUGCAAGUCGAGCGAGCGAACCUAACAGAUUUACUUCGGUAAUGACGUUAGGAAAGCGAGCGGCGGAUGGGUGAGUAACACGUGGGGAACCUGCCCCAUAGUCUGGGAUACCACUUGGAAACAGGUGCUAAUACCGGAUAAGAAAGCAGAUCGCAUGAUCAGCUUUUAAAAGGCGGCGUAAGCUGUCGCUAUGGGAUGGCCCCGCGGUGCAUUAGCUAGUUGGUAAGGUAAAGGCUUACCAAGGCGAUGAUGCAUAGCCGAGUUGAGGGACUGAUCGGCAACCUUGGGACUGAGACACGGCCCAAACCCCUACGGGAGGCAGCAGUAGGGAAUCUCCACAAUGGACGCAAGUCUGAUGGAGCAACGCCGCGUGAGUGAAGAAGGUUUUCGGAUCGUAAAGCUCUGUUGUUGGUGAAGAAGGAUAGAGGUAGUAACUGGCCUUUAUUUGACGGUAAUCAACCAGAAAGUCACGGCUAACUACGUG
RNAcentral lists this ribosomal RNA (511 nucleotides) under uncultured bacterium. RNAcentral's name for it is "partial 16S ribosomal RNA". It matches the Rfam family "Bacterial small subunit ribosomal RNA", at positions 28 to 507 of the family's 1533-position model. The record is from RNAcentral.